Small nucleolar RNA from Erinaceus europaeus (western European hedgehog), 130 nucleotides. The record is from Ensembl. NCBI's taxonomy places the organism in Eukaryota, Metazoa, Chordata, Mammalia, Eulipotyphla, Erinaceidae.
CAACUUGCUUCCAAGGUUUAAAGCUGGUAGUAGCCAUGGAAUCCCCAACUGUAUACAAGAUGAACCUGGAGAGAUUUGGAUAGCACAGGUCAGCAUAAUACCUAUAGCUGUCACUCUCCUUUCUAUAUUU